Molecule: ribosomal RNA, 215 nt
Filed under: uncultured bacterium
Lineage: Bacteria
Description: partial 16S ribosomal RNA
Rfam family: Bacterial small subunit ribosomal RNA
Source: RNAcentral
GACGAACGCUGGCGGCGUGCUUAACACAUGCAAGUCGAGCGGUAAGGCCCUUCGGGGUACGACGAGCGGCGAACGGGUGAGUAACACGUGGGUGGACCUGCCUCAGCUCUGGGAUAAGCCUGGGAAACUGGGUCUAAUACCGGAUAUGACUCCAUGACGCAUGUUGUGGGGUGGAAAGCCUUGUGCGGCUGAGGAUGGGCCCGCGGCCUAUCAGC